This 523-nucleotide ribosomal RNA is filed under the name uncultured bacterium. Its description in RNAcentral is "bacterial SSU rRNA". It matches the Rfam family "Bacterial small subunit ribosomal RNA", at positions 32 to 518 of the family's 1533-position model. The record is from RNAcentral.
ACAGGACGACGCUGGCGGCGUGCCUAAUACAUAGCAAGUCGAACGGUCUUUCUAUGGAAGCUUGCUUCCACUGAGAAGAUAGUGGCGAACGGGUGAGUAGCACGUGGGUAACCCUGCCCAUAAGAGGGGGAUAACGAUCCGGAAACGGGUGCUAAUACCGCAUAGUUUUCUGAUCGCAUGAUUGAGAAAGGAAAGACGGCCUUUGUGCUGUCGCUUAUGGAUGGACCCGCGGCGUAUUAGUUAGUUGGUGAGGUAACGGCUCACCAAGACGAUGAUACGUAGCCGACCUGAGAGGGUGAUCGGCCACAUUGGGACUGAGACACGGCCCAAACUCCUACGGGAGGCAGCAGUAGGGAAUCUUCCGCAAUGGACGAAAGUCUGACGGAGCAACGCCGCGUGAGUGAAGAAAAGGUUUUCGGAUCGUAAAACUCUGUUGUCAGAGAAGAACAAGUUGGAGAGUAACUGCUCCAGCCUUGACGGUAUCUGACCAGAAAGCCACGGCUAACUACGUGCCAGCCGCCGC